ACCAUCGAUUCCCACUCCUUGCUUAGCUCCGCCGACCUCGACGGAACUGCUCACCAAGCCCCAAGCUCCGAUCAAGCAUCUUUCCAAGCCGACGUGUCGCGGAGGACCCUGCGACCGGACGCAGAGGUCCCCAAACACCUCUCUACCUACAUGAAUCCACUGAGCGAGGAGUUUCUACGGUGACACAAAGAAGAGAAAUGCAAGUACAUGUCUAUAUGUUGAUGUGAGUUCCAUAGGGUAGAGGAUAGGAGCAUAGGUGAGUCUGAUAAGCAUGCCGAGGAUGUUCGAUUUGGUUGAAUGAGUUGUGAUUUGGGGUUUCCAUGGUAUCCUGGUUUCAUCUCACGAUUCUCCUAUUUUUUGCUAGGGAUAGGAACAUUUUGAUUGAUUACGAUGUUGUAGGGGAUUUCUCUUCAUGGAUUGAGUUUCUGAAUCGAGUUCUUGGUGGUUCCAACUGGUUUCAAUGGUGUCUGCUCCUUUCUGAUGCUCGGUUAGGUUCGAUUGGGUUUGGUGAUUGCUGAUGUUUUACUAUUUGAACGGUGAAGCUCUGGUUUCUUAUGGUAUUGAAAUCGCUGGAUAGAUUUGAAUUGGAAUGAUGAUAUUUUCUCUCCUAUGUGCUUCUUACUAAUGUCGUUGGGGCUCUGUAAUGAUUCCCAGUAGAUAAGCUUCAAUUGGAAUUAGUUGUUGCUGCUUUUGCUUUCCGAAUUGCUAUGGAAUUUGUACGAAUUUAACUUGAUGUUGUUCGGUUUUGUGUGGAUUUAAGUCGAGGAUGAUCUGUUCCGGAAAUAGCUGUGGAGUUUAACUUCAAGUCGAUGUUAUUUAUGUUAUUGCGAGCGAUUAGAGGUUCGUGUUUGUCUCUUGUUUAGCUGCCGACUUUUGAGAAUUGCAUUGGAAAUUCUUUUGUGGAUUCAUGACCCUCUUGGGUGAUCUCGGAUUCCUUUAGUGUCAGUUGCGUGAUUGUGGAUAGAUCUAGUAGGUAUUGAACUGAAUUCAUUAUGGUUCCUACUCUCGGUGAAGGCUCUGAAGUCCUUAUGGUAUUCUUGUUUGCCGGUGAGGGAGACACCUCCCAAGAUAUGAUGGAGGGCAUACGAAUGGAGUAGACGAGGAGGUGGGAUGGACGCAUGACACACUGUCCGGAGGUCUUAGGAGUGCUGUGAAGACUUGUUUUCUCUUGUGUCUUUCUUUAUUUGUAUAAGGAAAUAUACUGGUGGUUCCCCAUUUUUUUUUGGUUGUAAUGCUACUAUUUAUAUUGGGUAUGGUGGUUUAUUUUGAUAGGAUUACUAUUAUGAUUCUUUCACGGUAAAGGUUUAGAGUAUUAGAGUGUAUACUAAAAACCUAGCUUUUUGUAAACAUUUAUUUUGAAAUAAAGAAUCACAUUGGUCAAA
Molecule: long non-coding RNA, 1382 nt
Organism: Zingiber officinale
Lineage: Eukaryota; Viridiplantae; Streptophyta; Magnoliopsida; Zingiberales; Zingiberaceae
Exons: 2
Source: RefSeq, a predicted model, not a curated record